AAGUUCGUUGAGGUUGAAGAAUCGGAACCAACCAACGCGACCAAGUCUCAAUUCUCAGACCCUAAACCUACCCUUCCCUACCCCCCAUCACUCUACCAUGGCCAUGGCCUCGUUCGACGCAUUGUUCUUCAUUCUUCGUCUUCUACAUCAACACAAUCCCAAACUUUAACCCUAAUCCGAAUGUGUUCUACGCAUUCUUCUUCGCGCCUGGAUCUAGGGUUUCAAUUUCGGCUCCGAAGAUCCCCAGCCUUGGACGUCCUCUUAGAUCGGAUCGCCGGAGAAAUUUUUGCUCGAUCUCGCGCUACGAGAUCUUGAUUCGUCUCGUAUUAGGUUUUCAGCUCCAACAAGGCUCUGACGAGUCGGCAGAAGUCGAUAAGUAUAGGUACCUACACAGAACAAAAGGUUUGAGCUACUCUGAUGGGUGAGUUUGGCAACCUCAAACCCUCAAAAUACAAGGUUUGUUUAAUCUUUUGCAUCCAGAUAGUGGACAUAAUUGAUGUGUUUCGUUUAGUUGUGUAAAUGUUUCAGUGUUAUAUUUGCUUCUUUUUCCUUGAAUCUCGCUCGCCUUCAAUUGGGGAACCAAGUCCAUCACCGGCCAGAAAAGACAAACAAAUAAACAUACUAAUCAAUGUUCUGCAAUGAUCGAUCACCCCAGCUGUUUCUGUUCCAUCCUUUUUUAAUUGAUUUACUGUUUAAUUUCUUUGAUUUAAAAGCCUAUUGGAUUGUGGUGUAUCUUGUUUUAGUUUCUCUGGGAGUUUUCGAUUUUUCAAUUGUUAAUGGGUCCUCGUUCAGGACAAUCCUCUUUUA
Molecule: long non-coding RNA, 807 nt
Organism: Prunus dulcis (almond)
Lineage: Eukaryota; Viridiplantae; Streptophyta; Magnoliopsida; Rosales; Rosaceae
Exons: 2
Source: RefSeq, a predicted model, not a curated record